RNAcentral lists this ribosomal RNA (253 nucleotides) under uncultured bacterium. RNAcentral's name for it is "partial 16S ribosomal RNA". It matches the Rfam family "Bacterial small subunit ribosomal RNA", at positions 524 to 776 of the family's 1533-position model. The record is from RNAcentral.
UACGAAGGGAGCUAGCGUUGUCCGGAAUCAUUGGGCGUAAAGAGCGUGUAGGCGGUCCGGUAAGUCGGCUGUGAAAGUCCAGGGCUCAACCCUGGGAUGCCGGUCGAUACUGCCGGACUAGAGUUCGGAAGAGGCGAGUGGAAUUCCCGGUGUAGCGGUGAAAUGCGCAGAUAUCGGGAGGAACACCUAUGGCGAAGGCAGCUCGCUGGGACGUUACUGACGCUGAGACGCGAAAGCGUGGGGAGCAAACAGG